RNAcentral lists this ribosomal RNA (279 nucleotides) under uncultured bacterium. RNAcentral describes it as "partial 16S ribosomal RNA". It matches the Rfam family "Bacterial small subunit ribosomal RNA", at positions 506 to 784 of the family's 1533-position model. The record is from RNAcentral.
UGCCAGCCGCCGCGGUAACAGGGGGGGCGCAAGCGUUGUUCGGAAUUAUUGGGCGUAAAGGGCGCGUAGGCGGCCUGAUAAGUCAGGGGUGAAAUCCCUCGGCUCAACCGAGGAACUGCCUCUGAAACUGUCAGGCUUGAGGCCGGGAGAGGGUAGUGGAAUUCCCAGUGUAGCGGUGAAAUGCGUAGAUAUUGGGAGGAACACCAGUGGCGAAGGCGGCUUUCUGGACCGAUACUGACGCUGAGACGCGAAAGCGUGGGGAGCAAACAGGAUUAGAUA